AAGACCUUGCGCUUUUGGAGCGGCCGAUGCCUGAUUAGCUUGUUGGUAAGGUAAAAGCUUACCAAGGCUUCGAUCAGUAGCUGGUCUGAGAGGACGACCAGCCACACUGGGACUGAGACACGGCCCAGACUCCUACGGGAGGCAGCAGUGGGGAAUUUUGGACAAUGGGGGCAACCCUGAUCCAGCCAUGCCGCGUGAGUGAAGAAGGCCUUCGGGUUGUAAAGCUCUUUCAGCCGGAACGAAACGGUUACGGAUAAUACCCGUGACUACUGACGGUACCGGAAGAAGAAGCACCGGCUAACUACGUGCCAGCAGCCGCGGUAAUACGUAGGGUGCAAGCGUUAAUCGGAAUUACUGGGCGUAAAGCGUGCGCAGGUGGUUUUGUAAGUCAGAUGUGAAAGCCCCGGGCUCAACCUGGGAACU
Molecule: ribosomal RNA, 423 nt
Filed under: uncultured bacterium
Lineage: Bacteria
Description: bacterial SSU rRNA
Rfam family: Bacterial small subunit ribosomal RNA
Source: RNAcentral